GACGAACCGUGCGAACGUUGUUCGGAAUCACUGGGCGUAAAGCGCACGUAGGCGGAUGUGUCAGUCAGGGGUGAAAUCCCGGAGCUCAACUUCGGAACUGCCCUUGAUACAGCACGUCUUGAGUCCGGAAGAGGUGGGUGGAAUUCCUAGUGUAGAGGUGAAAUUCGUAGAUAUUAGGAAGAACACCGGUGGCGAAGGCGGCCCACUGGUCCGGUACUGACGCUGAGGUGCGAAAGCGUGGGGAGCAAACAGG
This 253-nucleotide ribosomal RNA is filed under the name uncultured bacterium. RNAcentral describes it as "partial 16S ribosomal RNA". It matches the Rfam family "Bacterial small subunit ribosomal RNA", at positions 524 to 776 of the family's 1533-position model. The record is from RNAcentral.